AGUGAACGCUGGCAGUAGGCCUAACACAUGCAAGACAAACGGCAGCACAGGAGAGCUUGCUCUCUGGGUGGCGAGUGGCGGACGGGUGAGGAAUACAUCGGAAUCUACUUUUUCGUGGGGGAUAACGUAGGGAAACUUACGCUAAUACCGCAUACGACCUACGGGUGAAAGCAGGGGACCUUCGGGCCUUGCGCGAUUGAAUGAGCCGAUGUCGGAUUAGCUAGUUGGCGGGGUAAAGGCCCACCAAGGCGACGAUCCGUAGCUGGUCUGGGAGGAUGAUCAGCCACACUGGAAAUGGGACACGGUCCAGACUCCUACGGGAGGCAGCAGUGGGGAAUAUUGGACAAUGGGCGCAAGCCUGAUCCAGCCAUACCGCGUGGGUGAAGAAGGCCUUCGGGUUGUAAAGCCCUUUUGUUGGGAAAGAAAUCCAGCUGGCUAAUACCCGGUUGGGAUGACGGUACCCAAAGAAUAAGCACCGGCUAACUUCGUGCCAGCCGCCGCCGUAA
This 506-nucleotide ribosomal RNA is filed under the name uncultured bacterium. RNAcentral describes it as "partial 16S ribosomal RNA". It matches the Rfam family "Bacterial small subunit ribosomal RNA", at positions 29 to 523 of the family's 1533-position model. The record is from RNAcentral.